Molecule: long non-coding RNA, 9869 nt
Filed under: Medicago truncatula (barrel medic)
Lineage: Eukaryota; Viridiplantae; Streptophyta; Magnoliopsida; Fabales; Fabaceae
Description: long non-coding RNA (MTRU_LNC007681)
Source: RNAcentral
AAAAAAAACCUUCAAUUUUUGUCAAAAAAAUAAAUUCCAUUGUCUCUAACUAAUUAUUGAAAUUUUAAACAUGUGUUUGGUCUAACGGUAUGGUAGAAAAAAUCACGGCAAAAAUUCACGGUAACUACAAAAUCUAAAAAUUUGUAAUUUCUUUGAAAUUUGAGUUUGUAACUUCGAACGUCAAAUAAUCGUUCAUUAAGUCUCUAAAGCUCACAUGAUCAGACCAGCUUUGAUUGCAAAAUAUGACCAACUAAUUACUAAUAAACAUUUAAUUUUGUUAGCAGAUCAAUUUAUCUGUUUAAUGUUAAAAUAAAUCUGAUCCAAUUCAAUACUUUUGGACAUAGAUUGAAAUGGUUUCCCCCCCCCCCCCCCCCCCUUUUUUUUUUUUUUUUUUGUAAACUAGGUAUCCUCCGCGCGCAACUGCGGAGACUAAUCCCUCGAGCAUUGUGAGACCCAAAUGGACGGCAGACUCUCCCUAAGAGUUUUAACGCUGCUGGAGGUAUUGUAAAUAAUAUUUUGUGUUAUAUUAUUUUUAAGAGUGUAUAUUUCUAUAUAAAAAGAGUGAGUUUUGCCUUCAACCUCGAGGUAAUCGGUUUGAGACCUAGGCACUGAGAACAUGAGUUUUUUCGAUUAGCUCUUUAAAAAAUUAUUUAUAGGAGGAAUAAUUGUUUUUAUGGAAUUUGUCGUGUAAUAAAAAUCUAAAUCGUCUAGUCUACAAUUUUGUAUAGUCUUCAAUUAUGUUGUGAAUUCGGGCUUUGAAACUUCACACCAAUCCAAACUAUGAUGUGUGGAGAAAGUAUCAAUGGCAACCAACAACCAAAUUAACCAUAAGCAAUAACAAUAAUAUAUACCAAGUCUAUAAACCAAGUGCAUAGCAAAAUCACAAUCCAACCAAAUAAUAAACAAGAUAAAAGAGUAAAGAAAAAUAGACAACAACACCAAGAGAUUGUUCACCCAGUUCGGUCCAACCAUGACCUACUCUGGAGGAGAGAUUGAUCUCUUCAAUCCACUAUCAAUGAGUUCUUACAAAGAGAUACAAAUGAGUUACAAGAAAUUAGCUUCAACAAGCUCACAAAAAACAACCCUAAUUUCUACCAAUUUUCCCAAUCUCACCAAUGAACAAGACACUCAUGAUUUUUACUCUCCCAAGGUGUUUACAAUUGUUUCACAACUCUAGAAUCUAACCCCCAAAAGAGAACCAACUCUUAGCCUUUGAUUUCACUUAGGAUCUUCUCUUUUGGUUUCACAAGACUCACCCAAGUUGCUCGCAAAUGACUCUCCACUCAUGUGUUUCCCAACCCCAUGAAUCUUCUCCAAAAGGCACCAACCCUUUUCACAAGAGCCCCCUCUUUUGGUUCUCCAAGAUUCACAUCUUGAAGCUUUGAACCUCACCCAAAGACCCUCAACCUUUAGUAUCUAAAACCCUAAAAGUUUCAUCCUUUGGUUGUUAUGGGAUUCACCAAGCUUACCCAACAAAUGGAUCAGGGAGUGUUUAAAACAUGUUUCAGAUCUGUCAAAAUCGUGUCACAUUUUGCCUUCAGAACCAAACAUGCAUUCGGCAUCAGAAAUCGUGACACGGUUGCCAAAUCGUGUCAUGAUUCUUCACUUUCAUAAAGACUUAAUUUUGAGUCAUAUAUAUACCAACAAAUUCAAAUUAUAUAAAUGGACGGUAUAUUCUUUAGUAAAAGUAUUAUUUCACAAUUUAAUACGUAUUAUUAAAAGAAAUUAGAAACAAUUAUCAAAAAAUUAUGAUAGAUAAUAUAUUAAACUCGUCUAGUGUGUGUGUAUUUUUGAAGGAUAGUGUGUGUGUGUAUUAACAUCAUUCUCUAAUUAUUUUUGUAGGGAAACAAUGUUGGUUAAAUUGAUGUGUACUUUUUUUUGUAAAAAAUAAUCGACGUAUUUUUAAAUGAGAUUUACAUGUAGAGAGAGACAGCGGUAGACAUAGUAGUAGAACAAUUAAAAUUUAAAAGACCACUUUACAAAUUGCACCAAGUGGUCCUCUAAAAAAGAUCACCGACAGUUGCUUCACUUUACCUUCAUAUAUUUUAGAGCAAUGAUAUUUGAACAAUUAUUUAGUACAACAUUUUUUGACAAUCUUCUUUUUCUCUCUUUUUAUUGGUCAAAAAUAAUGAAGAGAAAAAAGAAGAGAUAGAGUAAAAAUAUAAUAUGAAUAUGAGAAAAAAAAUUGUCUAAAAAUUAUCACAAAAUGGUUGUACAAAUAUUAUUUCUCCAUAUUUUAGACACAGGCUAAUCAUUAAUUAAUUUGUGUAAAAAAAAACAAUAAUAUUAUUUUGACAACAUUAUUCAACACCUUAUCUUUCUUUCAAAAAACAUUAUUCAACACCUUAUGUUCAUAUUAUCAUUUGAUUUUCUUAAUUAUGUUUUACAUCAGUCACAUCAAGUGACAUUUUACACGCUUAUCAAUUUUUUUUGUCAAGUAGCCUAGUGUUUAGAACUCAUAUAAUUUAAUUGUGAAGAAAUGAAGUGUCAGAGAUUCGAACUCCAACCCCUGCAUAUAAUAUGCAAUAUCCCUACCAACUGAACUAAGCUCACGAAGAUCGCGGUUAUCAAUUUUUGUAGUUCAAAUAACAUCACUAAAAAAAGCUACGAGGCAGACGCACAAAUUUUCAUUGAGCAGUUGUGUUAAUUAAUUUUAUAACGCAAGGAAAAUGGUGAAGUUUUUGUGAAUAGAGAAAUGAUAUAUAUACAAUCAUUUUCAAACAACUUUUGUAAUAACUUUAUCUCUCAUUUUUAUAUUUUAUUUUUAUUUUUUUCUCUAUUAUUUUGGUUUUCGUUUAUGAUUUUUUGUAAGAAAAUGAUUGUCUAUGUAGUUAUCAAUCACAUUGAUGUUCAAAUAACAUUGCUUUUGUGAAUAAUGCAAAAUAGUUUCUCGGAACAAUCAAUUAUUCAAUUGAUAUUUACGAAAUUAGUUUUUGUAGGGUGUCCCUAUAAAUCACAUAUACUUUAAAACAGUCAUAUGUAUUCACGAUUCGAGAUCUUAUAAAAAAACCAUUCCAGAUCAUGUAUGAAAAUGAAAUAUAUAUUUUUUUUGACUGGUGUAUGAAAAUGAAAUAUUUUCAAAAAUAAAAUAUACUCUCUGCCCAUAUAAUGUCAGCGUAGGUGUCGGUGUUUUUCUACCGACUAUAAGAAAAACUGUAAAAUAAAUAAAACAAUAUAGUAAUUUAAAUUAGUGAUUGUAAAUUAUUGUCUUAAAUGUAUAGUUCAAUAUAAUAGAUUAAAAAUGAUGAAAAAAAUAUUAAUUUAAGAGUAGAAUUGAAAUAACAUAUAUGUUUUCGAUAGUUUAACUAAAUUGAUAAAGACAUUGCAUAAUAAUAUACAAGUGUUUUGAAAUUCCAUUUAUUCAUUACAUGUGAAUUUUUAGAUAUUAAACUAUUUGGAAAAUAAAAUAAAAUAUCAAAUAAUUAAGGUUUAAAUAUGUAAGUAGUCCCUGUAAUUUCGCGUAUUUUUGUUUUCGUUCCUGUAAGUUAUUUUGUUCUAAAACAAACUCUGUAUUUUGCUAACCUUUUGGAAAAGGUCCUUGCCGUCAGCUUCCGUCAACAAAAACGCCAUGGUGGCUAACGGAGCACACGUGGCAGUUCAUGAGUUGGCAAAGUUGAUGAGAUGGAAUGAGAGAUGAUAAGUUGUUAAAAUACAGGGACUAAAAUCAAAAACGUAAAUUGACACAGGGAUGAAAUUAAAAAAACGUUUAAUCUUCUUUUUCCUCUCAAAUUUCAGUCUUCUUCUUCCUCUCAAACUUUCCCCAAUCUAUCCCAUACCUUGCGCCCUUGAACCAAAACUCAUAUCCUUCAACAAUUUAUUCUAAUUCCAUUACUCAAUCAUAUUGUGUGUUUUGAUUGUAAUGUUAAGUUGAAACAUUGUAUGCUACUUAAGUUUGAUUAAUUUAGUGAUGGUUGUUGCGAUUGAUUGCAAAUUCAUUCAUAAAGUUUGUAGAUAAUAAAGGCAAGAAUACAUCUUUUUCAUCCCUCUUUUUUUUCCACAAUUCCCUCUUAUUCUUCCAGAUUGCUACAAUUACCAUACAUAAAUAGUCAGAUCCCCUUUCAUCUUUUCUCACUCACAUUCAAAUUCAAACUCUAAUUUCUCAAAUUUUUGCUUUUGAAUUGUGUAAUUUUGUGUUUUUAUGUAAUUGGUGUAGAGAGUUUAUGUUGUUUUAAUGUGUUGAUUAAGAGUGGGUCUUGUUGUUGUUGAUUGAUGAUUAUUAGUUUUGUUUAAAAAAAUAUAUAUGUUUGUUGUUUUCUUUCUUUUCCUGGGUUUGGUGUUGAUGAUUUAUGAAUAUGGUGAUGAAGAUGAAGAAGACAAUGAAGGAAGAAGAAGAAUAAGAUCUUGAUUUUAAAUUUGAAAUUUUGAUUUUACGUUUUUUAUUUUAGUCCCUGUGGUAAUUUACGCUUUUGAUUUUAGUCCCUGACUUUACACAACUAAUCAUCUCUCAUGCCAUCUCAUCAAAUGUGCCAAGUCAUGACCUGCCACCUGUGCUCCGUUAGCCACAAUGGCGUUUUUGUUGACAGAAGCUGAUGGUAAGGACCAUUUUCAAAAGGUCAAAAAGAUACAAGGUUUAUUUUAUAUAAAAAAAAAAACUUACAAGGACGAAAACAAAAAAUACGCGAACUUAGAGGAACCUUUUACAUAUUUAAGCCAAUAACUAAUAGCACUUAUUUUGGUACAUUUCUCUUUUGCAAAUGUGAAACUUAAUAUUGGAUGGGGUCAAUAAUUUUGAGAAUGAAUAAACCCAUUAUUUAGUCUUUUAAUUUUUUUUUUCCAUCCAUCAGGUUUCUAAACUAUUUACAAACACUAAAUGUCCUUAAGACAUAGCUCAAGUAACAAUAUUGAUAUUGAGAAGUUGGAUAUUUUCAUCCGAGUUUGAACUCGAAUUCUUGCAAUUACGAGUGUGAAUUUCAGGUAAUUUAUAUCAAUUUAUCUGUAAACAAAAGGAGAUAUAUACGCGUAACAAAUAGGUCUAAUGCAAAUUAACAACUUAUUUUUAGUUUAUAAAAUAUAUGAAAUUUAAUCCUUUAGUCCCUAGUAUAUUUUAACAAUGGGCACUAAAGCAACAUAUAUUUCAUAUAUUUUAAAUACUACUACAUCUUUCCUUAUGUAUAAGCUCAUUUGACAUUUUCACAUAUAUUAAAAAAGUUAGUAGUGUCUUGACAAAAAAGAAGCUCCUUAGAGUUUCCUUAUGUAUAUUUUUUUAAACCGAAAAAAUUGUGUACAAAAAAUGACUAUUAUUACUAAAAAAAAUCUUUUGCAUAUAGAUGUGUUCAACAUUUAUUUUGCAAUUCUCAAGACAAAUCAGUGGUACAUCUUAAUAAGUGAUAUAUUUGUUAGGAAAAAAAAUUACUAUAUGUAUCUAGUUAUUUGCAAGACUAAUGAUUCUUAGCAAAUAUGCUUAUAUUGAGAGAACUUUUUUCUAAAGAGAGCUUAUAAUUAGAGACUAAGAUUUUGCCAAAAAAUAAAGAAAAAUUAGAGAAUAAGGUUUAUACUAUACUUUAGAAACUAAUUUGAUGAGAUACGACUAAAUCGAAGAUAUAUUUUUUUAGAAUAGUGUUAGAACCUUAGAAAUUAUAAUCAAUAGAAAUAGAAAUGUUCCUUACAGAUCCAUAAUAGUGACAAUCUUGUCUUUUCUUUUGAGGAAAUAAUAAUAAAGGUGGUGCCAACAUUUCAACAAACCUAGCUAUUUUAAUUAUUCUGUUCUCACAGCCUGCACCUUAGAUCAAAUCCAAAUUGGGUCAUCACCGUUCCAAAAUGCUUAGGGACGUUACUCUAAAUGUCAAUAUGAAUGAGUAAUUCAAAUAGUUAACAUAGCCCGCCAGCCUUAUAUAAUAAUAUCAAUAUAUGUCGACUAAUUAUCGAGAUGCUAAAUUGGAGUACACUUCACAAACAAAAAUCUUUCAUAAGGCGUUUUUUCUCUUAAUACAUUUUUUCUUUUCUUAUGCUAGUAACAUUUACUCUGUAUUGGCCUUCCUAAGAAGAAGUUGGAUAGUAGCAAUGUGUUCGUGAGACUGCUGAUAUCUUAAAAGAAUGUUCUCAUAGAUUCCACUUUUUUAGUAAGCUUUUAUGUGUAUGAGUUUGCAAAUUUAACCCUUUUUAAUUCGGAUAGAUUUAUAAGUCACACCUUCAAGUACAAUCGACAAAAUUUCAGUAAUAAUUACGGUUUAGGGUUUAUGGGUCUAGAUCUACUAAAAAUGAGUGGGUGUAUAAAUUAGUAUAUCCUAGAGUUUAUUAUCUUACGUUCGAUCUUCUUUGCAGAAACUCGUGCAUGUUCGUGAUAUAUAUUUUCGCGAGAAGUACAUUUCCCUAAAACAAAAUCAACCACUGACAUAAACACGUCAAAUGUAAGCCGGUAAAUCCAAGCUUUACUAACACGAGUUAUAUUAUAUCAUUGGCAUCAGCUACUUAAGAACUACUGUAGAAAAUUUACAGCAAGUCAUCGAGGCUUAAUAAAAUGUGUUGAUAUAGUUACAAAGAUAAAUUAAAUAGCAGAGCAUACAUGAAGAGAACAAAUGUAGAGCAACCCCUUAAACAAACCCUCUCAGUAAGGUAUCUUCACAUUACUCUAAGUUCAUAAAAGAUGACUUUAAAAACGAUUAUUUCAAAAUGCAAGUAUUCUCCGACCCCUUUUUCCCGGAUCUAGAUCUAAUAGUGUAAGGAUAUAUAUAAAUCAUUGUCACAUUUUACAACUCAAGAGUUUACCUCAACUCGUUUUGUUUAGGUAAAUUCGACUCGAGAACUCGUAUGACUUUACCUAAAAUUAAAAUUAUAUAAAAUUUAUUAUAUAUGCAUGACAUAUGUAAGUUAAUAUAAUAUUGUAAAUAGGUCAAUAGUGCAAAAUAUGACUUAAUUACAAAGACAAAUUAUACCAUAAUAAAAUGUUAUGCUCAACUUAGCUUCAAAAUACAAAAAUUAACGCACAAAAUCAUAAGUCUCUAAGUUUAAGCCAUCCAUAAAACCAUCCAAAAAAAGAAAGUUUCACAAGUUCCUAAAGUUAUUAAUAAAACUAUCUAAAAAAUAAAGUAGUUAAUUUCUUCAAAACGUCAACAAACACCACCACAACAACCCUAACCAGUGUCACAAUCACCGGCGUUGAAAUAUGAAUUUCCACCGUCUGAAUCACAACCCUAAAUGGUAUGUGCUCCCCUGUUCAUGGUUUGAGAACUUAGAAAAGAAAAAGGGCAAUCCGGUGCACUAAAGCUCCCACAUACGCAGGGUCCGGGAAGGGGUCCCACCAUUUUUUGUGUAUUGUACGCAACCUUACCCUGUUUUUGAUCACAAAAGAAAAAGAAACGUUUCAUUUUAGGAACAACUUGUCACUGUAAAGGUAACUAUUAAUUAAACGUUUCAGUCUUUGGGGUUGUAGAAAAGGAAUUGGAUUUUGAAAAAAAUGGGCACAUAAAAAGGGCCAAUUUUUAGAUGUAAACUCGUAAAACUCAGUAAACUCGGUCGAGUUUACACGAGUUUACCUAGUGUUAACUCGGUCAAACUCGUUAAACCUUCCAAUUUUACCAGAAACCGAGUUUACCUCCGAAUUAACAUGAUUUUGGCACCUACGUAAACUCGAAGAGUUAACACUCAAUUUGCGGAACAUUGCAUAUAUAUUUAAAGAUAUAUGUAUAAUUAUAGAGAAAGUAGAGAAGGGAUAUACCAUUUUAUGUAGGGUUAUUAUGUAUCAAAUCAUAAAGAGUCGAGAGUUGUAUUAUACCAUAAUAUUCUUCCGUAAACUGGUAGUCAUGAUCAUGACGUAUAUUAUUCAAGUAUAUGCAAAAACAUGUCUGUAUCUAGUCUAAAUUUUUGACCAAAUGCAUGUAUUUGCUUAUAUUUUGUUACUACUUACUACUCGCCAAGUAAUGCUCAAUAUCUAAUAUAUAUAUUUCAAGACCAUCAAAGAUAACUCAGUUGAACAAUACAUAAUAUAUGCAAGGUUCGGGGUAUAUUACAUUUUCAAUUAUUCUAAUAAUAAAUUUAAAUGACACUUAAAUUAUACAACUAUUAAAUAGAUCUUAGUACCGUAAAAUUUAUAUUCGAGACUUGCUAGGGAGAACCAUCAACCUCAACAAAAAUUUCUACUUGAAUCUAACGCAAACAAAAGGUCCAACCAUCUAUGAAUCUCCGUUGAUAUCACAAAUGAUGUUUGAUACAAGAGAGACAUAUUAGAACAUAAUCUAUGUACAAUCUACAUUAAAAUAAAAAACAAGUCUACAGUCAUAUAAAUAACACAAUUUCAAAAUCUCAAAAUUAGGUAUGAAAACAAAAUGAUUAGAAAAAUAAAUGAUUCAAUCAUUCCGAGAUUUGUGCAAAAAAAAAAAAAAAAACAUUUUGAAAAUACAAUGUUAGAAACUUAUGAUCAAUAUAUAUUUUUCCUUACACAUCAAAAAUAAUUAAGCUAUAUUCUUGUCUUUUCAUUUUGGGCAAACUAAAAUUAAAAUCAAGGUAGUGUCAAUGUUUCUAUAGUCCUAGCUAUUUGAUUUUCUUCUAAGCUAACAAGAGUCUUCCAAAAUCAAAUUCGCGCUCAAAAUUAAAGCAACUUGGGUGGUAACCAUUCCAAAAUACUUAGGGCCACAUUGCUCUAAAAGUCAAUAAGAAUAAGUAAUAAUUCAAAGAUAGCCAACCUUAUAGUAUAUUUUAAUAUGAAUGUAUGCAUGUUUCCUAGAAGGUGAGUAAGCUAACUAAUCAAGAUACUUUGUUGGAGUUAAAUAUGGUAAAGAAUCCAACUAUAAAAUGGGGACUUGCCCCAGCAUUCUUUCACAAACCAAAACCAACUUCUAAGAAAAAAAUGAGGUCCCUAAUGGCCUCUGCUUCUCUCACUCUUGCAUUAGCCAUCCUCUUUUUGAGUUUCCCAUCUGAAAUUUCAGCAAACAAAUACGCAUAUUCCUCUCCACCACCACCACAUUACUCAUCUCCUCCACCUCCACCGGUUCACACUUACCCUAAACCAGUCUACCACUCUCCACCACCACCAGUUCACACCUACCCUAAACCAGUUUACCACUCUCCACCACCACCAGUUCACAAGUACCCUCACCCUAAACCAGUAUACCACUCUCCACCACCCCCAGUUCACAAGUACCCUCAUCCACACCCAGUCUACCAUUCUCCACCACCCCCAGUUCACAAGUACCCCCAUCCUCACCCAGUGUACCACUCUCCCCCACCACCACCACCAAAGAAGUCCUACAAAUACCCAUCUCCCCCACCACCACCAGUUCACACCUACCCUAAACCAGUCUACCACUCUCCUCCACCCCCAGUUCAUCACACCUACCCUAAACCAGUCUACCACUCUCCUCCACCCCCAGUUCACACCUACCCUCACCCUAAACCAGUCUACCACUCUCCACCACCCCCAGUUCACACUUACCCUAAACCAGUCUACCACUCCCCACCACCACCAGUUCACACCUACGUCCCUCACCCUAAGCCAGUCUACCACUCUCCACCACCACCAGUUCACACCUAUCCCCCACAUGUUCCCCACCCAGUUUACCAUUCUCCUCCUCCUCCAGUUCAUUCCCCACCUCCACCACACUAUUACUACAAAUCACCUCCUCCACCUUACCACAACUAGAUAGCCCAUAAUUGGCAUCACACCAUAUGGUAACUUUUCAUGCAACAUAUAUAUUAUAACUUUUCAUAUUCUCUCUUUAUUAACUAGUUAUCGGUAUGAUUGUCGAGUAUAUACUAACAAGGCUAAUUUGAAAUGAAACUUCAUGUGCAAUGAAACAUUCUUUUACUGGUUAAUAUUUUAUUCUAUGUUUCAUUGAAAUUAAUAUUUUUCUAAUAGUAUUUGGUUAUUAAGGGAUUAGAGUAUAUCAGACAUAAACUGACAGAUCAAUAUAUUUGCAUUUGUGUAGGAUCUAAAC